This 468-nucleotide ribosomal RNA is filed under the name uncultured bacterium. RNAcentral's name for it is "partial 16S ribosomal RNA". It matches the Rfam family "Bacterial small subunit ribosomal RNA", at positions 28 to 507 of the family's 1533-position model. The record is from RNAcentral.
GACGAACGCUGGCGGCGUGCUUAACACAUGCAAGUCGAACGGAAAGGCCCUGCUUUUGUUGGUUUCUCGAUUGGCGCACGGGUGAGUAACACGUGAGUAUCCUGCCCUUGACUUUGUGAUAACUUCAGGAAACUGGGGCUAAUACCGCAUAGGAGCUCCUGCUGCAUGGUGGGGGUUGGAAAGUUUCGGCGGUUGGGGAUGGACUCGCUGCUUAUCAGCUUGUUUGUGAGGUAGUUGCUUACCAAGGCUUUGACGGGUAGCCGGCCUGAGAGGGUUACCGGGGACAUGGGGACUGAGGUACGGCCCAGAAGGGUACGGGAGGCAGCAGGGGGAAGUAUUGCAGAAUGGGGGGAAGCGUGAUGAAGCAACGCCGCGUGCGGGAUGACGGCUUUCGGGUGGUAAACAGAUUUCGAAUGUGACGAAGCGUGAGUGACGGUAAUGGGUAAAGAAGCAACGGCUAACUACGUG